RNAcentral lists this long non-coding RNA (274 nucleotides) under Prunus persica (peach). RNAcentral's name for it is "long non-coding RNA (PPER_LNC002631)". The record is from RNAcentral. Lineage: Eukaryota; Viridiplantae; Streptophyta; Magnoliopsida; Rosales; Rosaceae.
UUGGGUCUGUAAUUGAAGACGUGGCGACCAUGUCGAAUCAGAGCAAGUGGGUUUUGAUGAGAGGCGAAAAGGGCGAUGGAACCGCAGGUUGUGAUGAAUUUGGUGAGGAGAUUGACAUUUGUUUCGAGGGAGUGUCGGAGCAUGAAGGAGUGUAUUUUGAGAAGCGAGGGUGUUGUUUUCGUUUGUUGGAGAAGGUGUAAGCAUUUUCUUUCUAAUGAGCUCCAUCUCCAUACUUGCUCUCUCAUCAUACAACUUUCUCAGUUUUGCUUCCCUG